This 425-nucleotide ribosomal RNA is filed under the name uncultured bacterium. Its description in RNAcentral is "bacterial SSU rRNA". It matches the Rfam family "Bacterial small subunit ribosomal RNA", at positions 354 to 796 of the family's 1533-position model. The record is from RNAcentral.
GUGGGGAAUAUUGGACAAUGGGGGCAACCCUGAUCCAGCCAUGCCGCGUGAGUGAUGAAGGCCCUAGGGUUGUAAAGCUCUUUCGGCGGGGACGAUAAUGACGGUACCCGCAGAAGAAGCCCCGGCUAACUUCGUGCCAGCAGCCGCGGUAAUACGAAGGGGGCUAGCGUUGCUCGGAAUCACUGGGCGUAAAGCGCACGUAGGCGGAUCUUUAAGUCAGGGGUGAAAUCCCGAGGCUCAACCUCGGAACUGCCUUUGAUACUGGGGAUCUCGAGUCCGGAAGAGGUUGGUGGAACUCCGAGUGUAGAGGUGAAAUUCGUAGAUAUUCGGAAGAACACCAGUGGCGAAGGCGGCCAACUGGUCCGGUACUGACGCUGAGGUGCGAAAGCGUGGGGAGCAAACAGGAUUAGAAACCCUAGUAGUCC